Molecule: ribosomal RNA, 440 nt
Filed under: uncultured bacterium
Lineage: Bacteria
Description: partial 16S ribosomal RNA
Rfam family: Bacterial small subunit ribosomal RNA
Source: RNAcentral
CCUACGGGUGGCUGCAGUGGGGGAUAUUGCACAAUGGGGGAAACCCUGAUGCAGCGACGCCGCGUGUGGGAAGACGGUCCUCUGGAUUGUAAACCACUGUUCCCAGGGACGAAGAUGACGGUACCUGGGGCGGAAGCUCCGGCUAACUACGUGCCAGCAGCCGCGGUAAUACGUAGGAAGCGAGCGGUGUCCGGAAUUACUGGGGGUAACGGGAGCGUAGGCGGGACUGCAAGUUGGGGGUCAAAUCUACCGGCUCAACCGGUAGCCGCACUCGAAACUGCAAUUCUUGAGUGAAGUAGAGGCAGGCGGAAUUCCUAGUGUAGCGGUGAAAUGCGUAGAUAUUAGGAGGAACACCAGUUGCGAAGGCGGCCUGCUGGGCUUUGACUGACGCUGAGGCUCGAAAGUGUGGGGAGCAAACAGGAUUAGAUACCCCUGUAGUC